CUUGAAGUUUCAUAUGACUGAUUUGCAUUUCUGAUGGAUAAUUGAAAACCUUUUAUGAAAAAGUAAUUGCAGUUUCUCUGCAUGUUAUGCAAAUUUUGGUUUCUGAUAAACUAAAUAGUAUACUUGGCACAUUAGAUGAUGAAGAGAUAUUUGAAGGUGCCCACAGAAAAUGAAAUAUAUAGGAGUUAGGACAGAAUGUGGUGGUGUGCAAAGCCUGGCUUUUCCUUAAAUCCUUGCUUUUUACCUUCCUUUGCAGCCAAUUUUUCAGUUGAUCAAGAAUAAUUUAAUCAGAAAGGAACGAUAAGGAAUUACAGUUGAAGAGCAUCAAAAUAAG
RNAcentral lists this unclassified non-coding RNA (334 nucleotides) under Hevea brasiliensis (rubber tree). Lineage: Eukaryota; Viridiplantae; Streptophyta; Magnoliopsida; Malpighiales; Euphorbiaceae. The record is from RNAcentral.